Non-coding RNA from Danionella cerebrum, 70 nucleotides. The record is from the annotation of a GenBank genome assembly. NCBI's taxonomy places the organism in Eukaryota, Metazoa, Chordata, Actinopteri, Cypriniformes, Danionidae.
UUUCCAGUGGCUCAGGCAGUAGAGCACUGCGCAGCAACGCAAAGGUCAUGGGUUCAGACCCAACGGAAAG